GACGAACGCUGGCGGCGUGCUUAACACAUGCAAGUCGAACGGUAAGGCCCUUCGGGGUACACGAGUGGCGAACGGGUGAGUAACACGUGGGUGAUCUGCCCUGCACUUCGGGAUAAGCCUGGGAAACUGGGUCUAAUACCGGAUAGGACUCCUGGCUUCAUGGUUGGGGGUGUAAAGCUUUUGCGGUGUGGGAUGGGCCCGCGGCCUAUCAGCUUGUUGGUGGGGUAAUGGCCUACCAAGGCGACGACGGGUAGCCGGCCUGAGAGGGUGACCGGCCACACUGGGACUGAGAUACGGCCCAGACUCCUACGGGAGGCAGCAGUGGGGAAUAUUGCACAAUGGGCGCAAGCCUGAUGCAGCGACGCCGCGUGAGGGAUGACGGCCUUCGGGUUGUAAACCUCUUUCAAUAGGACGAAGCGCAAGUGACGGUACCUAUAGAAGAAGGACGGCCAACUACGUGCCAGCAGCCGCGGUAAU
This 477-nucleotide ribosomal RNA is filed under the name uncultured bacterium. RNAcentral's name for it is "bacterial SSU rRNA". It matches the Rfam family "Bacterial small subunit ribosomal RNA", at positions 28 to 524 of the family's 1533-position model. The record is from RNAcentral.